RNAcentral lists this ribosomal RNA (306 nucleotides) under uncultured bacterium. Its description in RNAcentral is "partial 16S ribosomal RNA". It matches the Rfam family "Bacterial small subunit ribosomal RNA", at positions 507 to 809 of the family's 1533-position model. The record is from RNAcentral.
GACAGCAGCCGCCGCGGGAAUACGUAGGUGGCAAGCGUUGUCCGGAAUUAUUGGGCGUAAAGGGCUCGCAGGCGGUUUCUUAAGUCUGAUGUGAAAGCCCCCGGCUCAACCGGGGAGGGUCAUUGGAAACUGGGAAACUUGAGUGCAGAAGAGGAGAGUGGAAUUCCACGUGUAGCGGUGAAAUGCGUAGAGAUGUGGAGGAACACCAGUGGCGAAGGCGACUCUCUGGUCUGUAACUGACGCUGAGGAGCGAAAGCGUGGGGAGCGAACAGGAUUAGAUACCCCUGUAGUCCCUGUCUCUUAUAA